GGACUACCCGGGUAUCUAAUCCCGUUCGCUCCCCUGGCUUUCGUCCCUCAGCGUCAGCGGCCUCCCAGGACACUGCCUGCGCCAUUGGUAUUCCUCCGGAUCUCUACGCAUUUCACCACUCCACCCGGAAUUCUAUGUCCCUCUGAGGCCCUCGAGUCCUGCCGUCUGCCCGGCACUCCCCUAGUUAAGCCAGGGGCUGGCACCGCACACGCGCAGAACCGCCUGCGGACGCUUUACGCCCAGUAACUCCGGACAACGCUCGCCCCCUACGUAUUACCGCGGCGGCUGGCAC
RNAcentral lists this ribosomal RNA (292 nucleotides) under uncultured bacterium. Its description in RNAcentral is "partial 16S ribosomal RNA". The record is from RNAcentral.